UCCACAGUAGCUCAAUGGCAGAGCAACCGGCUGUUAACCGGUAGGUUCCUGGUUCGAGUCCAGGCUGUGGAG
Molecule: transfer RNA, 72 nt
Filed under: Anaerolineaceae bacterium
Lineage: Bacteria; Bacillati; Chloroflexota; Anaerolineae; Anaerolineales; Anaerolineaceae
Also listed under: 3 other names
Description: tRNA-Asn
Rfam family: tRNA
About the family: Transfer RNA (tRNA) molecules are approximately 80 nucleotides in length. Their secondary structure includes four short double-helical elements and three loops (D, anti-codon, and T loops).
Source: RNAcentral